ACGGAGGAUUCGAGCGUUAUCCGGAUUUAUUGGGUUUAAAGGGAGCGUAGGCGGGUUGUUAAGUCAGUUGUGAAAGUUUGCGGCUCAACCGUAAAAUUGCAGUUGAUACUGGCGACCUUGAGUGCAACAGAGGUAGGCGGAAUUCGUGGUGUAGCGGUGAAAUGCUUAGAUAUCACGAAGAACUCCGAUUGCGAAGGCAGCUUACUGGAUUGUAACUGACGCUGAUGCUCGAAAGUGUGGGUAUCAAACAG
RNAcentral lists this ribosomal RNA (251 nucleotides) under uncultured bacterium. RNAcentral's name for it is "partial 16S ribosomal RNA". It matches the Rfam family "Bacterial small subunit ribosomal RNA", at positions 525 to 775 of the family's 1533-position model. The record is from RNAcentral.